Molecule: long non-coding RNA, 954 nt
Filed under: Zostera marina
Lineage: Eukaryota; Viridiplantae; Streptophyta; Magnoliopsida; Alismatales; Zosteraceae
Description: long non-coding RNA (ZMAR_LNC006084)
Source: RNAcentral
AACUAUUUAUUUCAACUUUUUAAGCAAUAUUUUAUAUUUUAUACAAAAUUAAAUAAAUAAAAAUUAAUAUUAUAGGGACCUAGAGUCAAUUUUGUUUCAAUAUUUUUCACAUGAGAAAAAAAAAGAAUGCAGUGAUUGGAGUAAGAAUGAAUUGAGGGAAAGGCAGAGAUAGAUAGAUAGAUGACGAUUUUGGAGCGACCGGAGGAACAAACACUUACCGGACGUUUCACUUCUCUUGACCUGAAAGCUGCUUCUCGAUAGAGUCGGUGAGGGUCUGUCUCUCUGAGUUGGGUCUUGAGACACCCACACACAUUCUACUGGGGUGAGGUUUUCUUCCUAAGAGUAGUAUCACUUUCUUCUCCCACGAAAUACUCUCAUUAAUUCUCCAUUUCCCCUCAGGUUCGCCCACGAAAGAACGUUCUGGAAGGUUCGAUAUCGCCUGAAGCGGUGAAGGAUCCUCCUCGUACAGCGAGCGUAUCGUGGAGAAUCCUCCAUCGAUCAUACAAUGGUUCUUCAGCCAAUCUCCUGCCACUGUCUAAACGUUCUGGGACUGAGCUAUCUAUUAAGUAAUAUUGAACUGGGCCAAUAUAAAUACAGCCCAAUAGGUGACAAUUUGAUAAUAAUGGUUAAAGGUUAAAUUACAUAUCUAUUAGUGACAACGGUUGAUGAUUAGUUAGACUUAAUUAUUCUAAUGUAAUCUCUAUAAAUACUGGUGUUAGCCUGUAAAUGGUAUACCGAAAUCCGUAUUUGAAUUCGAAUAUGACUAUCCGGAUUCAGAUACCUAAAUUAAUAUCCGAAUUUUAUUUGGACGGAUUCGGAUAUUCGAAAAAUUCACCGUUAAAAUCUAGUGAAUAUUAAUUACAUUAGAGUAUUGGACUUUCCUUAUAUUUGGAUAUCAUUUACAUUGGACUUUUUUGUAUUUAUAUAUCAAUUACAUUGAACUUUUCACAUUCA